AAAAAAACAAACCUGCCAGACUACCGCCCAGUUGUACCUGCGCUGCACCUGCGCGCCACACCAGUAGAUGGCUUUUUCUGCAUUUUUCUGAUAUGGCACUCAGCUGCACAAAACCUGUGCAGCCCAACUAUGGCGCACCCUGACAGACUAGCGCUCAGCAGCACAAAAUCUGUGCAGCCAAGCUAUGACGCACCUUGACAGCUCUGAGCUCAGCU
RNAcentral lists this long non-coding RNA (215 nucleotides) under Vigna radiata. RNAcentral describes it as "long non-coding RNA (VRAD_LNC011337)". Lineage: Eukaryota; Viridiplantae; Streptophyta; Magnoliopsida; Fabales; Fabaceae. The record is from RNAcentral.